CACCGUAUUUCUGUUGGGAGUUCAGAUGCAAAUAUUUUGGGUACCUGCCUUCUAUGCGACAUGCCCUUUGAUGACUAUUCUUCACGUUGCAGAUGCUCUUAUUGUAGAAUGCUUGUUUUGGUCUGUGAUAGUUGCCAAAUGAGGGAAGCUGUCUAUGUUUGUGAGUUAUGUCAGAAACAUGGCAAGGUUGUUGGCUUAAUUCCGUCAACUGAAAAUAGUAAGCCAGAGGAAACAAUGCCAGAUGGUGAACUUGCAUGCAUUCCCUCGGAU
This 270-nucleotide unclassified non-coding RNA is filed under the name Hevea brasiliensis (rubber tree). Lineage: Eukaryota; Viridiplantae; Streptophyta; Magnoliopsida; Malpighiales; Euphorbiaceae. The record is from RNAcentral.